AGAGUUUGAUCAUGGCUCAGGAUGAACGCUAGCUACAGGCUUAACACAUGCAAGUCGAGGGGAAACGAUAUUGGAAGCUUGCUUCCGAUAGGCGUCGACCGGCGCACGGGUGAGUAACGCGUAUCCAACCUGCCCACCACUUGGGGAUAACCUUGCGAAAGUAAGACUAAUACCCAAUGACGUCUCUAGAAGACAUCUGAAGGAGAUUAAAGAUUUAUCGGUGAUGGAUGGGGAUGCGUCUGAUUAGCUUGUUGGCGGGGUAACGGCCCACCAAGGCAACGAUCAGUAGGGGUUCUGAGAGGAAGGUCCCCCACAUUGGAACUGAGACACGGUCCAAACUCCUACGGGAGGCAGCAGUGAGGAAUAUUGGUCAAUGGGCGAGAGCCUGAACCAGCCAAGUAGCGUGCAGGAAGACGGCCCUAUGGGUUGUAAACUGCUUUUAUAAGGGAAUAAAGUUAGUCUCGUGAGACUUUUUGCAUGUACCUUAUGAAUAAGGACCGGCUAACUCCGUGCCAGCAGCCGCGGUAAUACGGGGGAUGCGAGCGUUAUCCGGAUUCAUUGGGUUUAAAGGGUGCGUAGGCUGUGCGUCAAGUCGGGGGUGAAAUUCCGGUGCUCAACACCGGGGCUGCCCUUGAUACUGUCGCGCUGGAGUGCGGAUGCCGCCGGAGGAAUGAGUGGUGUAGCGGUGAAAUGCUUAGAUAUCACUCAGAACACCGAUUGCGAAGGCAUCUGGCGAAUCCGUAACUGACGCUGAGGCACGAAAGCGUGGGGAUAGAACAGGAUUAGAUACCCUGGUAUUCCACGCCGUAAACGAUGAUGGCUAACCGCCGGCGACACACUGUCGGUGGCCAAGCGAAAGCGAUAAGCCAUCCACCUGGGGAGUACGUCGGCAACGAUGAAACUCAAAGGAAUUGACGGGGGCCCGCACAAGCGGAGGAACAUGUGGUUUAAUUCGAUGAUACGCGAGGAACCUUACCCGGGCUCGAACGGCACCUGGAUCACCCAGAGAUGGGCGAGUCUUCGGACAGGUGUCGAGGUGCUGCAUGGUUGUCGUCAGCUCGUGCCGUGAGGUGUCGGCUCAAGUGCCAUAACGAGCGCAACCCUUGCCGCCAGUUGCCAUCAGGUGAUGCUGGGCACUCUGGCGGGACUGCCACCGCAAGGUGUGAGGAGGGGGGGGAUGACGUCAAAUCAGCACGGCCCUUACGUCCGGGGCGACACACGUGUUACAAUGGCGGCCACAGAGGGAAGCUACCCCGCGAGGGGAUGCGGAUCUCGAAAAGCCGUCCCAGUUCGGACUGGAGUCUGCAACCCGACUCCACGAAGUUGGAUUCGCUAGUAAUCGCGCAUCAGCCAUGGCGCGGUGAAUACGUUCCCGGGCCUUGUACACACCGCCCGUCAAGCCAUGGAAGCCGCGGGCGCCUGAAGUCCGUGACCGGAAGGAGCGGCCUAGGGCGAAAGUGGUAACUGGGGCUAAGUCGUAACAAGGUA
RNAcentral lists this ribosomal RNA (1488 nucleotides) under metagenome. RNAcentral describes it as "bacterial SSU rRNA". It matches the Rfam family "Bacterial small subunit ribosomal RNA". The record is from RNAcentral.